GGGCCCGCACAAGCGGUGGAGCAUGUGGUUCAAUUCGAAGCAACGCGAAGAACCUUACCAGCCUUUGACAUCCCGGUCGCGAGCACCAGAGAUGGAGCUCUUCAGUUCGGCUGGACCGGAGACAGGUGCUGCAUGGCUGUCGUCAGCUCGUGUCGUGAGAUGUUGGGUUAAGUCCCGCAACGAGCGCAACCCUCGCCCUUAGUUGCCAUCAUUUAGUUGGGCACUCUAAGGGGACUGCCGGUGAUAAGCCGGAGGAAGGUGGGGAUGACGUCAAGUCCUCAUGGCCCUUACAGGCUGGGCUACACACGUGCUACAAUGGCGGUGACAGAGGGACGCAAAGGAGCAAUCCUUCGCAAAUCUCAAAAAGCCGUCUCAGUUCGGAUUGUGCUCUGCAACUCGAGCACAUGAAGUUGGAAUCGCUAGUAAUCGCAGAUCAGCACGCUGCGGUGAAUACGUUCCCGGGCCUU
RNAcentral lists this ribosomal RNA (467 nucleotides) under uncultured bacterium. Its description in RNAcentral is "bacterial SSU rRNA". It matches the Rfam family "Bacterial small subunit ribosomal RNA", at positions 917 to 1382 of the family's 1533-position model. The record is from RNAcentral.